UAGGGAAUCUUCCACAAUGGACGCAAGUCUGAUGGAGCAACGCCGCGUGAGUGAAGAAGGUUUUCGGACCGUAAAGCUCUGUUGUUGGUGAAGAAGGAUAGAGGUAGUAACUGGCCUUUAUUUGACGGUAAUCAACCAGAAAGUCACGGCUAACUACGUGCCAGCAGCCGCGGUAAUCGUAGGUGGCAAGCGUUGUCCGGAUUUAUUGGGCGUAAAGCGAGCGCAGGCGGAAGAAUAAGUCUGAUGUGAAAGCCCUCGGCUUAACCGAGGAAUUGCAUCGGAAACUGUUUUUCUUGAGUGCAGAAGAGGAGAGUAG
Molecule: ribosomal RNA, 316 nt
Filed under: uncultured bacterium
Lineage: Bacteria
Description: partial 16S ribosomal RNA
Rfam family: Bacterial small subunit ribosomal RNA
Source: RNAcentral